GCAGCGAGCUGAGCAGCAAGCUGAGCGCGGCGUGGGGAGCACGAACGGCGCGGGGGACUCCGGCGGCGCCGGGUUCCCGCGAUUCCUGCUUGCGGCUCAGCGAAGCAGCCUCCGGCGGUGACGAACACAGCGACAGCGUCCGGGAGAUGCGGCGGGUCUCCCCGGGGACCGGAGUCCUGGCCUCUUUCUCAGACAAAGUCUUGCUGUGUAGUUCAGGCUGGCCUUGAACUCACUGUGUAGCCCAGGCUGGCCUCAAAUUCACAGUUAUCUUCCUGCUUCAGCCUUCCUGGUACUGGGAUUAUAGGUGUGCACCACCAAACCUGCCAUAUAUAAUCUCAUACUUUGAUGAAUAAUUCCUUCAGCUCAAUGGAUAAGAGAAACCAGGCAAAACUUCACCCUCAAAAGAUGAGGAAGCUGAAGCAGGAGGAGCAGUGAACAUCCCGGGAUACUUCUCUCCCCAGCAACCAUAGUGACAUUUUAAAAUCAUCACCCAGAGUUACGUGUGAAAAUCAGUAUACCUCACAAAGAUUUGGAGUCAACUGGUGUUUACUAAGGCCCAAGCCCUUAGUAUUAUGCCAAGCCCUCUGUCCAGGGAUUAUUUGCAAGAAAUGUAUUGUUUACUCCCCCACAACAAGCGCUUAUACAAUUGAUGUUUUCACUCUCACUUUAAUGAUGAAGACACAAAAGCUCAG
Molecule: long non-coding RNA, 692 nt
Filed under: Heterocephalus glaber (naked mole-rat)
Lineage: Eukaryota; Metazoa; Chordata; Mammalia; Rodentia; Bathyergidae
Description: lncRNA (ENSHGLG00000045421.1)
Source: RNAcentral